CCACUUAUUGCCACCUGGCAUCCAAUCCUUUCUUCUUGAAACAAUAUGAGCGCCAAAACCACACAAUGACUCCGUUCUUUUUACUUCUCACAUUCUAAACCCUAAUAAUCUUCACAGCCAUUCUUCCUCUCCUCUUCACGCCGCUGCUGCUGCUUCUUUUUCUACAUUCCUUUUUUCCCAGUUUCUUUCAUCUGUCUCGCAUCCAAAACCCUAAAUCUCAUCCAGGCCCAUACUUGAUCGUCGUUUCAUCUUCUUAGGUAAGGGUUUCUCCUUCUUCUUGAAUUAUUGUUUCAUCUCUUCAGCUUGAAACUUCACAAUAGUUAGCUGCUGAAUUCUAAAGGAAGACGAAGACGACUAUAAUAAAUAUGUUUAGAUGUUUGCUCUGGUGGCUAUCUAGGGUUUCAGUGUCGGCCGACGACUGUGAUACGCGUAGGCGAUUGAUCAGACCCAUGGCUCAAGAACAAGCCCAGGCGCGAUCCAGGGCCAUGAACAAGAUCGCUCUAGCAUCACUAUCAGCAAUGGUGGCAGAGACCACCACUUUCCCCAUCGACAUCACCAAAACCAGGCUUCAAUUGCAUGCAGCCGCUCACCCAGUCUCCGCAUUUCAGGUCGCCACUGACAUCCUUCGCAAACAAGGCGUAACAGGACUCUACAAGGGCCUGUCACCUGCCCUUCUUAGACACCUUUUCUACACACCCAUUCGAACCGUUGGUUACGAGCAAUUGCGUCAUGCUUUCAUUUCUCAUGAUAAUCAUUCUCUUUCUCUACCGAGCAAGGCCCUCAUUGGAGGGAUUUCUGGCGUUAUUGCUCAGCAUGAUGUAUGCUAUGGAUGGUUGUUCUUGAGGUUUUCCCAAUGCUUUCAAGCUACCAAAUUUUAUGAGUGAUCAUGAUUUUCUAGUUCUGUAUUUAGAAAGAUGCCUUUUUUAGAAACUGAUGUGGAGCAAACUGAACUGGCCUAGACGGUUAUGGAACACUAGGGUGAAGUGUCAUUUGUGGGAGCUUGACUGUGGCUUACAAAGUGAUGAUCAAGACACGUGGGUGACGAGGCGCUCCUAAGCCCCCAUUUAAUCCGAGUAUUAGUUGCUAAGGGAUAAGGGAAAGACAAAAGCAAGCGUUAGCCGUAUUCGUGAGAUACAUGGUAAAUUGUAUCCAUUUAUAUUAUUAUUUUAUUGUUUUUCUGACUUGCAAUAAUCACUUUGAAAAAUAGAGGUGUUGGUUUGCAAAAAUCUCACAGUCACAGGUGAUUGUUGUUGAUAGAAUAGGUGAUCCCAAACUUAACAAUAUGUAAUGCACUCAAAUAAUUUGAAUAUAAUGUCUCAUGACAAUAUCUAAUACAAAUUGUUUGUUAUAUUUGCAAGGAUAUGGUAUCAAAUAUUGUAGAGAACAAGAGCAAUAAACUGGUUGGAUUGCAAUUAAGAACCACUAUGAUAUAAAUUUGAUAACGAGAUGGAAUGGGAAUGGAUAUGGACAUCUAAACCCAACCCUUAAACCUUUUAAGUGGGUUUGGAGAUACCUGGGGAUUUUAUUGGUCUCAACUCCAUAUCUUCAAACCCAUACCAACAUGAAUGAUCUAUUUCUAUACAAAUUUCUCUUAUCUAAUUUAUAAUUAAGUGAUCUCAUUGAUGCACAAUUAAAUUUUCUAAUUACAGUUUUAGAUCGUCUCUUUGCAUAUGUGCGGUGCACAAUAUGUCAAAACAUCCUUUUAUUAUUAACAGUUGCCAUUCUAAUAGCGGGUUUUUACAUUUUAUAAUUUUAAGUUAGAUUUUUUUGUUUUCAAGGUUUUGUUUCAUCAAUAAGUCAUAUUUGAUCGUUUGUUACAGCCAUUUAUGUUAUGAGAUAUACAUGAGCUUCAAUACCAGUAUAUAUUAUAUAUUUGUGUUAAGCCACCCGCGAAACUCGCGGGAUCUUAGGCUAUAAUCCUACCUCUGAAUCUGAAGGAAUCAAGCAACAUCAGGUAUGCUAAUCUAUAAUCCGUUGAUGAUUACAUUGUAAUGUAUGUUAAUUUUCUUAUGGUCCAUAUAAGUUCGUAUUCUAGGGUUUUGAAACAGUCGCACUAAAUCCUCUACAGGUACUGUAAGCAACUGUUGGUAUUUAAUAAGUUAUUUACAUAAGAAUAACAAACAAAUAUGAGAUAUGAUAAUAGGUUGAAGUUGCAAGGCCCAUGGACAAGAAACGGAAAAGGGUUUAUGAAGAUUCGCAAAUCACUCAGUCGCGUGAGAUUUUAAAUAACUACAAGCCUCAAAAUUAUGAGUCAGUCAUGAGUUCUUUCAAUGGCUACCGUGACGACACUGUUCAAAAGUUGCUGAUCCCCAUGAAGCUGCUACCAGUGGCUGUUAGAGAUCGGUUACUUGGAGUUUUACGACUCGGUAUUGCUACUCGAUAUGAUAUCGAAGUUGAAUCCCUAAACCAACUGGGGUAGCCCAGUUGGCCACCGACACCCACCUCUUCCCAGAGGUACCGGGUUCGAGUCUUGGGAGUGGCAUAUGUCGCCCAGGGUAAGAACUCGGCAAGGGGAAGUCACCGCGGAGCUAGCUUGGUCGGGUAGCGGCUCCCGGAGUGAGAUCACUCCGGCGGUUGGGAGGACCGUGCACUAUCCCCCCCCCCCCAAGUUGAAUCCCUAGCUAAUCUUGCGGAACUACCUGAAUCUACAGCCAUAUUAGUUCUUGAUCAGUUUAUGUUAUCGGGAGCAGAAGAAGAGUAUGACAAGGGAGCAUAUCUCACUUCACUAAUUUCAAAGAUAGCAAGAAAAGGUUUGGAUGCGGCUGCACAUGAUCAACAAAGCAUGAAGGGACUGGUAUGUAAACUGUAUAUGUUUACCAUUUUUUUCUUGCAAUUGAUAACGAGUUUAGACAUUUGGAUUGUGAUUUAUCUUGCAACUGGAAAAUUCGAAAUUGGGUUGCUGUGGAGUCAGUUAUUCAGCAUCCGGUCCCACAGGGCCAUGUGAAGCGGAGAGUGUCAUCAGGUGGGAAAUAUGUCUCAGUGAACCUUGGACCUGUUCGAGUCGUUUCUAGGGAACAGGAUUAUUGAUGUGUUAUAUCGUUGUAACCCGACGUUAACUGAAGUCGAAAGGAAGAAAGUUUGUGAGUUAAUUGAUGUGAAAAAGUUGUCAGCAGACGUGUCCAUACACGCUGCACAGAACGAUCGGCUUCUGCUGCGAAUGGUGGUGCAAAUCCUGUUUCACGUGCAGGUUCGAGCCACUGCUGUGAUCAAAGAGGCAGCACGUGGCAACCGGGCGCUGGAACAAGACUGGGAGAUUAAAAUGCCGCUGCGUUCUAAGUAGCUAAGAACACCUUCACGGAUGAGGUUUACGGAUGGGGAUGUGAAGGAGGUGUCGAGUGGUGGUAGCAUGCGGUUGCUGCCAUCGAGUUCACGGAGGUUUUUGGAUAGGUUUUGGGUGGUGGGGAUGGGUCUGCGGCACGGAGAGACCGGGACGUCUGGUAGUUCGCAAUCUAAGUUUUCGAGUUCAUCGUCAAGGAAACAGAGAAACAAUAAUUUUCUGGAUAUGGAGGGUGAUACAUAGAGUCUUCGCAAAAGAGUGGAUAAUCUUAAGAAUUUAUAAAGGGGGUUGAUACUGAUGAUGGCUUUGACUUUAUUAGGAGAACGCUUGAGGAGCACUUUGGGCAAUGCGAAGAGAUUUCAAGCAUGUCUAUUCUUAAAGAUUUUGAAUUUGGUAGUUCUAAAGGGUAGGCUUUUUAUUCUCCUCCGCAAGCGUGCGUUCAUCGCCGGCAUGCACUAAUACAUCAACCACAACAAUUAUUCUGGCGAGAAUAUUGUCUUGUGACUAUAGGUUUGGGAUGUAGCAACUGGUACAAAGGAAUACACUUUUGAAGGUGAUAAUAAUGCUCCCGUUUAUUCCGUAUACCCUCACUUCAAGGAAAACAUUCAGGUAAACUGGUCGGAUGAGUGGAGCGGGGUCAAGCGGAUUGGAAGUCGCCUAAAGUGUGAAACUGUAUAAAAUCAAGUUUAGAGGAAUUUGAAUAAUUUUCUGUUUGUUUCGUCCAAUGUAUGCGUUUGUACAGAAUAUUACAGUUCAAAGUAAAUAAUAUGGUUUUGGUUGAAUCCCGCGUA
RNA transcript from Helianthus annuus (common sunflower), 4068 nucleotides. It is a transcript of the gene named mitochondrial uncoupling protein 3, with no coding region annotated. The transcript is spliced from 13 exons. Lineage: Eukaryota; Viridiplantae; Streptophyta; Magnoliopsida; Asterales; Asteraceae. The record is from RefSeq and is a predicted model, not a curated record.